Ipomoea nil (Japanese morning glory) is the source of this 80-nucleotide transfer RNA. It matches the Rfam family "tRNA". From Rfam's summary of the family: Transfer RNA (tRNA) molecules are approximately 80 nucleotides in length. Lineage: Eukaryota; Viridiplantae; Streptophyta; Magnoliopsida; Solanales; Convolvulaceae. The record is from Rfam.
GAUGGUUUUGCCGAGUGGUCUCAGGUGCCAGAUUUAGGCUCUGGUCCGAAAUGGCGUGGGUUCAAAUCCCACAACCGUCA